This 86-nucleotide transfer RNA is filed under the name SAR202 cluster bacterium AC-647-N09_OGT_505m. RNAcentral's name for it is "tRNA-Leu". It matches the Rfam family "tRNA". From Rfam's summary of the family: Transfer RNA (tRNA) molecules are approximately 80 nucleotides in length. Lineage: Bacteria; Bacillati; Chloroflexota; Dehalococcoidia. The record is from RNAcentral.
GCCGAAGUGGCGGAAUGGCAGACGCGCUGCGUUCAGGGCGCAGUGUCCUCACGGGCGUGGGAGUUCAAAUCUCCCCUUCGGCACCA